This 253-nucleotide ribosomal RNA is filed under the name uncultured bacterium. RNAcentral describes it as "partial 16S ribosomal RNA". It matches the Rfam family "Bacterial small subunit ribosomal RNA", at positions 524 to 776 of the family's 1533-position model. The record is from RNAcentral.
UACAGAGGUGGCAAGCGUUGUUCGGAAUUACUGGGCGUAAAGGGCGCGUAGGCGGUUUCGUAAGUCCUGUGUGAAAUCCCCCGGCUCAACUGGGGAACUGCACAGGAAACUGCGAGGCUUGAGUUCGGGAGAGGGAAGCGGAAUUCCGGGUGUAGCGGUGAAAUGCGUAGAUAUCAGGAGGAACACCAAUGGCGAAGGCAGCUCGCUGGGACGGUACUGACGCUGAGACGCGAAAGCGUGGGGAGCAAACAGG